Long non-coding RNA from Cryptomeria japonica (Japanese cedar), 810 nucleotides. RefSeq lists it as uncharacterized. Lineage: Eukaryota; Viridiplantae; Streptophyta; Pinopsida; Cupressales; Cupressaceae. The transcript has 2 exons. The record is from RefSeq and is a predicted model, not a curated record.
UAUGAUUUCUUGACUUAUCUUGAAGUGUUAUGCAAAGAAAAAGAAAGCAACCCUAGUUCCAUGUCCAUAUUCACACAUGGCUUCCAUUUUCUCUCGACUUUCAAAGCGCAGUUCAAGGAGUGGAUAUUCACAAAAGAAACACAUUUCUUCACGGUUCCCUUAAAGGAAAAUAGUUAUCAAUCAUGAAACAUCAGAAGGGCGAUGGUUAAUAGCAAUUCUAGUAGAGAAGGAGUGGUCUUCAAGAUAUUCAACAGAUCUCUUAAGAUCAAAGAGUUUGCAUGGAGUCUUUGCAUGAGGUCCUAAUAUGGAGAUAUUAAUCAAAGUUUGAGAUAGGCAUGUAAAGACAAUAAAAUCAAAUGAUGCAAGCAUCUACCAGAGGUAUCUUAAUUGCGAAAGUUGGUUGGAGCAGAGGUCAAUUUUCCAGUUGAGCACCUGAAACUUUUCUUACUUGGUGCAGUUUUAGAUGAUACAAAAGGUGGUCGAGAAAUGCGUGUCAAUCUUAAUGAGAGUGGUAUGUUAGAUCAUAUAUGUCCAACAACGGGUCUUGAAAGAACACUCAUUUUGUCUCUUUUUAUUCAACAUUCAUUAGUGGAAUUUUAAAGAGUGUAGAUCUCUGGAAUACAUGAAAUAUCUCAUAGAUGAACUCAAUUACAUAGUUAAACUUGUAAUAGUUUUAGGAACAUUCAAAAUGAAGGAAACUAGAAUAUUUUAUGUGUCUGUUGCUGAAAGGUAGCACAAUUUUUAUGCAAAUUCAGUGCUAAACUGUAACUUUUCUAUAUUCAUCCUAAUCUAACAAAAAUUUAAAGAUAA